Molecule: small RNA, 126 nt
Filed under: Marmota monax (woodchuck)
Lineage: Eukaryota; Metazoa; Chordata; Mammalia; Rodentia; Sciuridae
Source: RNAcentral
GCUCGGUGUGGUGGUGCACACCUGUAAUCCUAGCAGCUCGGGAGGCUGAGGCAGGAGGAUCAUGGGUUCAAAGCCAGCCUCAGCAAAAGCAAGACUGCUAAGCGGCUCAGUGAGACCCUGUCUCUA